RNAcentral lists this ribosomal RNA (468 nucleotides) under uncultured bacterium. RNAcentral describes it as "partial 16S ribosomal RNA". It matches the Rfam family "Bacterial small subunit ribosomal RNA", at positions 28 to 507 of the family's 1533-position model. The record is from RNAcentral.
GACGAACGCUGGCGGCGUGCUUAACACAUGCAAGUCGAACGGAAAGGCCCUGCUUUUGUGGGGUGCUCGAGUGGCGAACGGGUGAGUAACACGUGAGUAACCUGCCCUUGACUUUGGGAUAACUUCAGGAAACUGGGGCUAAUACCGGAUAGGAGCUCCUGCUGCAUGGUGGGGGUUGGAAAGUUUCGGCGGUUGGGGAUGGACUCGCGGCUUAUCAGCUUGUUGGUGGGGUAGUGGCUUACCAAGGCUUUGACGGGUAGCCGGCCUGAGAGGGUGACCGGCCACAUUGGGCCUGGGAUACGGCCCAGACUCGAACGGGACGCAGCAGUGGGGAAUAUUACACAAUGGGCGGAAGCCUGAUGCAACAACGCCGCGUGGGGGAUGACGGGCUUCGGGUUGUAAACCGCUUUCGCCUGUGACGAAGCGUGAGUGACGGUAAUGGGUAAAGAAGCACCGGCUAACUACGUG